GUCCUACGGGGGGCAGCAGUGAGGAAUAUUGGUCAAUGGACGCAAGUCUGAACCAGCCAAGUAGCGUGCAGGAUGACGGCCCUCCGGGUUGUAAACUGCUUUUAGUUGGGAAUAAAAGGGGGCUCGUGAGCCCCGUAUUGUAUGUACCAUCAGAAAAAGGACCGGCUAAUUCCGUGCCAGCAGCCGCGGUAAUACGGAAGGUCCGGGCGUUAUCCGGAUUUAUUGGGUUUAAAGGGAGCGUAGGCCGGCUUUUAAGUGAGAUGUGAAAUACUCGGGCUCAACUUGAGUGCUGCAUUUUAAACUGG
This 305-nucleotide ribosomal RNA is filed under the name uncultured bacterium. Its description in RNAcentral is "bacterial SSU rRNA". It matches the Rfam family "Bacterial small subunit ribosomal RNA", at positions 335 to 636 of the family's 1533-position model. The record is from RNAcentral.